This 234-nucleotide long non-coding RNA is filed under the name Bos taurus (domestic cattle). RNAcentral describes it as "long non-coding RNA NONBTAT022363". Lineage: Eukaryota; Metazoa; Chordata; Mammalia; Artiodactyla; Bovidae. The record is from RNAcentral.
CAUGAGUAUUUGAAAACACAUGCUUUGAAAUAAAUACAAUAAGCCAGUACCUGUGGGGAGCAAACAAGGUUAAAGGGACAUUCGGGCCUUCAUUUCUUUUCAGACAGAACAGAUUUUAUUCUCUAUGUAUGAAUAUGUUAAAAGGACGGAAGGUAUAGAGUGGAAAGAUAGGUGUUGAUUAUAGAUCAAGUAAGGUUCCAGAUGGUGCAGAAAAGGUUCUAGGUUGGUCAGGAU